This 5220-nucleotide small RNA is filed under the name Pongo abelii (Sumatran orangutan). Its description in RNAcentral is "retained intron". Lineage: Eukaryota; Metazoa; Chordata; Mammalia; Primates; Hominidae. The record is from RNAcentral.
CUCAGGAGCACAGGCACCCUCAACCUGUCACUGGGCCAUGCACCCCAGGGCCCAGGCAGAGCUGCCACCUUGCUGUCUCCAAGCUGACCUUGACUGGCGCUGGCUCUGGAGCCUGCUGCAGUCCCCAUCCUGUCCUACCUGCCCAGUGUGAGCCCAUUCCACAUACUGCUCUUGUUGGCAGGGUGGGCUGUGGUCCUCCUGGGAGGGACCUGGGAGCUUCAAGACAGGCUAGGGCAGGCUGAAUCUAGAGGAGGGGAGGGAGGGAGGAAUCAAGGUAUAAGAAAAAAACUGCUUCUCUCCACUCUCACACCACUCACCUCCGGUCACCAAAUAAAGUGGGGAUGUUUCUCCCCACCAACAAAAUCUAUAAAUGGAAAGGUUUUCCCUGAGUUCUGCGAGCCAUCCUUGCAAAUUAGUUAAACCUGAGGAGGGAAACACGGUUACUGGUUUAUUAUACAGGAUCUUAUCAGGGAUAUGGAGGAACAGCCAGGUGAGGAGAGGCACAGGGCAGGGCUUGUGGGAAAGGGUGGGCACCUCCACGCCCUUUCUGGGGCACUGCCCUUCAGGGGCCUCUGCAUGGUCCGUCCUCCAGAAGCUUCAAACCCUAACCUUUUCGGUUUCUAUGGAGGCUUCGUUAUGAAGGGCAUGAUCGAUUAUAUCAUUGGCUGUUGGUGAUUAACUCAACCUUCAGCCUCUCCGCCCUUGUAGGUCAGUGUGUGGGACUGAAAGUUCCAACCCUUUAAUCACAGGGUUGGUUCCCCUGGCAACCAGCCCCAUCCUGAAGCUAUCCAGGAGCUCAAGAGUCACCUCGUUCCACAAAGGAUGCUCCUAUCACCCAGGAAAUCCCAGGGGAUUUAGGAUCUCUGUAUCAGAUGCUGCUGUCACUCAGAAAGAUACAAAGGUCUUAGGAGCUCUGCCUCAGGAACCAGGGGGCAGAGUCCAAAUAUGUAUUUCCGACGAUAUCACAGUAUCACACAAGGUAGUCCUGGCCCAGAGCCUGCUAAGUGCCAGGCAAUAGGACACACAUUCUCUCCCACAGUCCUUCCCACAAACUCGGGAGACAGGUAUAACUCUCCCCAUUUUACUAAAUGAGGAACUGAGCUCAGAAGUUCUGUGCUUUAUGCCAAGUCUCAGCACUGGCCCGUGGUGGAGCUGGGGCUGUACCCUUCCCCUGCUCUUGCUGGUCCCUGAGCAGCUGCCUGCAGCCCUCCGGAGACAAGGGGUCUCUGGAAGAGGGUGGCCGCAGUCUGGCAGUCUACCUUUCUGUCUGAGGGGGCUUGGUUCCUGAUUUUCUUCUCUUCUUUCCUUGGCUUGUCUAACUCGCAGGUUUUGGGGGCUUCUGGGUAAUGAUGGGUCUGAGUACCACGUUUACCCCAUGCCCCUGCUGAGUGAAGCUGUGAAUGCCCCAGGGCUAGGGGGCAGGAGACCGGAGUACAGUCUGGAAUCUUGAAUUUAUUUGUUAAGCGGCUUCAGAUAGACCGUUCCCUUCUCUGGGAUUCAUGUACACAUCUGUGCAAGGAGAGGCUCAGGAACUUCAGAAGUCCUUGUACCACACAGUGGAUGUGACAGUCCCAUGGCCCACCCAGGACUAAAAGGCUUUUGGUUUUUAAUCUUUUUUUCCUCGAAUUUUUUUAUUAUGUUAAAAUAUACAUGACAUAAAAUUUACCACCUUAACCUUUUUUUUUUUUUUUUUUGAGACAGUGUUUUACUCUUGUUGCCCAGGCUGGAGUGCAAUGGUGUGAUCUUGGCUCACCACAACCUCUGCCUCCCAGGUUUAAGUGAUUCUCCUGCCUCAGCCUCCCAAGUAGCUGGGAUUACAGGCAUGCACCACCAUGCCCGGCUAAUUUUGUAUUUUUAGUAGAGAUGUGGUUUCUCUAUGUUGGUCAGGCUGGUCUUGAACUCCGGACCUCAGGUGAUCCGCCCAUCUCGGCCUCCCAAAGUACUGGGAUUACAGGCGUGAGCCACCACGCCCGGCCGGCCUUAACCAUUUUUUAAGGGUACAGUUUAGUUGUAUUAAAUACAUCCUUCAUGUGCAACCCUCACCAUCCUCCCACUCCAGAACUCUUAGUUGUUGUAAAACUGGAACUCUGUACCCAUUAAACAACAGCAACCACUGUUCUACUGCCUGUCUCUAUGAUUUUGACUACUCUAGGUACCACAUAUAAGUGGAAUCCUAGAGUACUUAUGUUUUUGCUGCCACGGGGUUUUAUUUAUUUUCUUUUCUCCACCCCCAGAAUCCCCACAUUCUGCUCCUGGCUGGUUUUGCUUCUCCUGGGUCGUGGGGUGCUAUUUGCAUGUGGGUGAGGAGCCCUCUCCCCAUCCAUCCUGCUUGUGUUUUCCUCCUGGGUACUAACUGGCCUCUACCUUUGUCUCUGUCUCCUCUGCCUCUGCUCUUGGUUAGCUGACGGUAGGGAAAGUGUCCAGCGGAAUAGGGGCUGCAGCUGAAGUCCUGGUCAAUCUGUACAUGAAUGAUCACAGACCUAAGGCCCAGGCCACCUCUCCAGACCUGGUAAGGACAUGCACCCCCAGCCUUCACCCACAGACACUGGCUCUGGCGUCCCAGGGCAGGCACAUGGGAUGUGGAGAGGAUGCCCUGGCCCUCCCGAGGCGCCUCUUCUCUUGGAACAAGAGGGGGCUGAGAAUGAGCUGAAUCAGGGCAGAAGUUAAAGGGAGCCUGCAUUUCCUUAAAGACAGAUCUCACUCAGGUCCCCUGCGGUCUUUUUGAAAAUAGAGAUCUUCCUGCUGUCUGUGGCUUUGGAGAACGGCCUGGUAGAAAGGCCCAGGUGAGGCCGUGAGUGUAAUUGAAUGGCCCUCACUUUCAAUGUUUAGUGUCCAACCUGAACAGACUGUGCAUUGGAUUGAGAAAAAAGUCAUGGGGAAAAUAUCCCUUUGAUUUGAAUUCUCUCUUUCUCUAAACUAGGCUGCUCGCUGCCAUCACCAGGAAUUUUAGUUGACCAUUCUUUGUUUGCUUUUGGCACAUUGCCCUGGAAUCGCCCAGGGGUACUGCUGCCCUGGCCCGUGCCCUCCCAAUUCACAAUUAGGACUAUAACUGACCAGAUUUGAUGCCACAAGCUUUCCCCACCCAACCUGUGCUACUGCAGGGGAACAGGACACCUAAAACAUCCUCAGCGGGCCAGUUUCAGGACCUUUGUCCAGAACCAGGUGACACUUAAUCCCAAGGACAGAUCCUGGAAAGAAUAUCAUGGGGUAGACAGGUUUGUGAGUAAAACCCACUCCGUCAGACCAGGAUCACUCCCACCCCAAAACCAGAGCAGCCAAUCUAGGGAAGAGCCCCUCCCAGGCCCACCUUGUUGUCUCUGGCCUGCCUGGGAGUACAGUUCACAGCAGCCCCUGCAGGGUUGGGGUCUGGGUUGGGGGCGUAUCUUCGUACCCCUCCCUCUUUGCUGCAGUGGCAGGAACAGGAAGCAGAAGCCCACGAGGUCCCCAGCAUUCAGUGUGGAAUUUCUAAAAGCCUUGGCCUGGCAUUUGAAGGCUCGGGAUAAGCCCUAAUACACCCACUCUUCUCUCCCGAUCCCCAGGAAUCUAUGCGAAAGUCAUUUCCCCUUAACCUGGGAGGCAGCGACAUGUGUUACUUCUGUAAGAAGCGUGUGUAUGUGAUGGAACGGCUGAGCGCUGAGGGCCACUUCUUCCACCGGGAGUGUUUCCGCUGCAGCGUCUGUGCCACCACCUUGCGCCUGGCCGCCUACACCUUUGACUGCGAUGAAGGCAAAUUUUACUGCAAGCCUCACUUCAUUCACUGUAAAACCAAUAGCAAACAACGGAAGAGACGGGCAGAGUUGAAGCAACAAAGAGAGGAGGAGGCGACAUGGCAAGAGCAGGAAGCCCCUCGGAGAGACACUCCCACUGAAAGUUCUUGCGCAGUGGCCGCCAUUGGCACCCCGGAAGGCAGCCCCCCAGUUCAUUUCAGCCUUCCAGUGCUACACCCACUUCUUGGCUGACACACUUCUGCUCUAAGGUGACUGGUUUUCUUGCCAAUUUUCAAAGAGUGGUACUAACCCCCAACCUGCUUUCCGCACCCCGUCCUCUCCGCCAGCGGUACUGGUUGCGCUAACUGUGAGUGUCUUGCGUACUGAUGGACUCAUUUGGUGGCAUGGUUGGCUAACAGCAUGGGGUGGGUGUUCAGCUUGAGACCCAUGUCUGUGUUCAUUUCCCGUGGAGCUGGCAGCCUGGUCUACCCCAAGUGCAUGCCCCGUGUCUCCUCUCUCCCUUGGGUCUGCCUGCUUGCAUGCUUCUCCAGUUGCACCUUCGAAGCCACCUACUUUCUUGGGAGGGUCGACCUUGAUCAUGAGGCAGUACCAUGAGGGGGCCUCUGUCACCUUUGAAAAGAACACUUUUUGAGCAGCCUCAAAAAGCUCAUACAUACCAGCGACUUCUUAAAUUGGCUCUAAUGUAAAGAUUGUUAAUGUCAUUUAUCAAAACCAUAGGUGAUUAUUUGGAGGGAUUUAAAAAACAUAAUUACUCUCAGGCCUCAUCCCAAGCUUGACACAUGCUCUGUAGGUUGAACACAUAAUCACAAAUAUUCUAGCAAAUCCUGCAUUGGUUGCAGCCUGCACUGUAGACCCAAGGGUUUUGCUGUGGCUCUUCUUAUAUCCCUUGGCUCAUAAAGCCCCAGAUGAUGCCAGAGCUUCGGUUAGAGCCAUCAUCAUCCCAGGCAGGGGUAUCUUUGAGAAAUGACUCAGUUCAGCCCCAGGCCCCUGUGACUCUUCUUAAGGCACACAUUUCUGCUGACUCUCGUACCUGGGGCAGCAGGAUAAUCACCAACAUGCUCUUAAUGAGAAACAACACACCAAGCACAGUGGAGCUGUCCUAGGCAACCCUCGCGGUCUCAGGCUGCAGUGGGUGUCCGUCCUGCAUGCGGCCCAGACCACCCUGACCCCUGGGCCUGCCUGCCUGGCCCUGCAUGCUGCACGCUCACUGCGUUUGUGCAGAUCCUGGCCAGUACGAAGUUGUUGCUCUUGUCUUAUCUUCUCUUACAGAGUCUCCCUCCCUUUAUAGAAUGUCAACCAAAGAGUGCCCUCCUCCCCUCUCAGCCUCCUCUUUAGCUAGCCUCCCCAUCUCAUCACAAAGCAUGUCUGUGACCUUUGGUAAUCAUUUACAGUGCCACAUGGAACCCUGUAUUUUGCACACAGCAAAACAAACAAUGUUUAGCUUUAUUUAUGGUAUUUGAUGCUGUAAAUGGAAAUAAAUAUUGUUCUUUAU